This 2029-nucleotide long non-coding RNA is filed under the name Sus scrofa (pig). RNAcentral describes it as "lncRNA (ENSSSCG00005043540.1)". The record is from RNAcentral. Lineage: Eukaryota; Metazoa; Chordata; Mammalia; Artiodactyla; Suidae.
UUUUUUUUUUUUUUUUUUUGUCUUUUCUAGGGCCACACCUAUGGUGUAUGGAGGUUCCCAGGCUAGAGGUCUAAUUGGAGCGAUAGCUGCUGGCCUACGCCAGAGCCACAGCAACGCGGGAUCCGAGCUGCGUCUGUGACUUACACCAACACCAGAUCCUUAACCCGCUGAUCGAGAGAGACCAGGGAUCGAACCCACAACCUCAUGGUUCCUAGUUGGAUUCGUUAACCACUGAGCCACGACGAGAACUCCCAAGUGUGGAUUUUCUUUGACACUAUAUUCAAACUUGACAAGCAGUUUCAUAAAGGUUAGUCGCACUGUGGAAUCUAAAGCCAUAUUAGUGAACUUUUUAUACUCUGUUACAUUAAAAUCCACUGGCCUGUCUUGCAUAUACUUUUACCCAUGCACUAGUGUCUAAUGAGCAUUGGAGUUCCCGUCAUGGCUCAAUGGUUAACGAAUCUGACUAGGAACCUUGAGGUUGGGGGUUCGAUCCCUGGCCUUGCUCAGUGGGUUAAGGAUCCGGUGUUGCCCUGAGCUGUGGUGUAGGUUGCAGACAUGGCUCAGAUCCUGCGUUGCCUUGGCUCUGGUGCAGGCCAGCGGCUACAGCUCCGAUUAGACCCCUAGCCUGGGAACCUCCAUAUGCCAACAAGAAGUGGCUCUAGAAAAGGCAAAAAGACACACACACACACACAAAAGAAAUGACUUAAGUAAGCAUUGGGGAAAUUUCAAGCUCAUGGUGGUGGAUACACAUUUUCAAAAUACUCAUUUUGCUUGAAAACUCAGAUUUUAUCAUUGGCCACAAGCAUCAUCAUUAGCUUUCCUUGAAGUAGACACAUUCAUUUUGUUCAUUUUCAAGAAAAUGUCUGCUAACUAUUCAAGUCUGAAUAACCAUAGUCUGUCAGUUCUGCCAAGUAAAAACAGUGUUCCAUGAAAAAGCCUUCUAGUUCAGCUUGUAACUCAGUUGUACAAGUGCUUUCUCUUAGAUUUCUUAAAGUAGCAGAAGUGUUUCCUGUGUACUUUCCCUUUCAUCAUACACACAAUAUUUAAAUACAUAUAUUCAUACACACAUAACACUGAAGACUAAAGAAUGGAGAUUUAAUAAAAUUCAUAAUUUUCAUAUUUCAUCAAGGCUAUCAAAGGUCAGGUCAGUGGCACUUUUUUUUUUUUUUUUUAAUUGUAAAUGAGUAGAGAAUAUAGUGACCAAUGAGUGUUAGUACAUGUUGGCGCCUCUGCCCUGAUUUGUGCUAAGGUACCACCGGUUUUGUUCAGACUUGUUUUGCCCCCUUAUUGCUAAUAUCAACACUGUGAAAAAGGCAAAUAACAUUUUAAUAUUAUUAGAAAAUAGCUUUGAUCUUUCAGACCUCUGAAAUUGUCUUUGAGCUCUCAAGAAAUAGGCCACACUUCAGGAAUAGCUGGGUUAGUUCUUUGCAUAGAUUUCCUUUUACUCUCAGACCAAAUAAAUCACAGGGGAUGAAGAAGAGGCAAAUGGCUGAGGUUUUUAGCUUGGGUUAGUAAAUGAAAGCGAUGCCAUCACUUGAAGAUAAAACAGGGUGAGGAGUAAGUGUGUUGGAAGAAAGCCCGUUUUGAGUUUCAGGGGGCUUGAGGAAUGUAGAGGUGGGGAUGUUGAUUAGCGUAGCUGAGCAAGUUUUUCUGAGCAUUGGGAGGCCUUUCCAUGCUGCUUUUUCGGUGGUUGCCAAGGAAGAGAAUUGAGAAAAAGAGGGCAGAAGAAGGGCCCUUAAACUGUCAAGGACAUCGGGAAAGAAGAAUUUCAAGAAGAGUGAGGAUGAUCAGCACUACCUAAUGCUUUAGAGAAGUCACAGUGGGGCCUGAGAUUUGAGUGUUGAAUUUGAAAAUGAGAUGACUGGUGACCUUUGGAAUAGGAGUAGAAGCCAGAUUAUAGAAGAGUAAAAAGUGCAGAGGCAGUUAUUUAUAACUAUUCUUUCAAGAAGUUUUGGGGUAAAGGAAAAGUUUGGGGUAACGGGUAAUGGGUUAGGCAAUUAAUUUGAGGGGUGGGCUGUACUGAGGACAG